Engraulis encrasicolus (European anchovy) is the source of this 133-nucleotide small nucleolar RNA. RefSeq annotates it as U8 small nucleolar RNA. The transcript has a single exon. The record is from RefSeq and is a predicted model, not a curated record. NCBI's taxonomy places the organism in Eukaryota, Metazoa, Chordata, Actinopteri, Clupeiformes, Engraulidae.
ACAUCAGUGAGGUCAAUCCUUACCUGUUGUUCUCUCCGGAGAACUGCAGAACGUGAUGUUUGGAGUGGGAUGAAUUCAUGAUUAUUCACUCCCUCCGCGAAGGUCUGCAACACCAUCGCGGAACCAUUCUGAU